This 68-nucleotide transfer RNA is filed under the name Fukomys damarensis (Damara mole-rat). Its description in RNAcentral is "tRNA-Thr". Lineage: Eukaryota; Metazoa; Chordata; Mammalia; Rodentia; Bathyergidae. The record is from RNAcentral.
GCCUUAGUAGUAUAUUUAUUACCUCGGUCUUGUAAACCAAAAAUGAAGAACUAUUCCUUCCUAGGGCA